Molecule: long non-coding RNA, 218 nt
Organism: Cynoglossus semilaevis (tongue sole)
Lineage: Eukaryota; Metazoa; Chordata; Actinopteri; Pleuronectiformes; Cynoglossidae
Exons: 2
Source: RefSeq, a predicted model, not a curated record
UGUCAUCGGAAUAAAUACACUACUAUUUGCAUACCUGCAAAUGUCUCACAACAUGGCCAGCAGCUUGACAUGAGCUGAUUUUAGCACUCUUCCUGCGUCCUUUGGAGGUAGGGGGAAACAGGUGAACCAACAAUAGAAUGCUUGACAGGUCACUGUCCCAGCCUAGAGGAAAACAGGAGAAAUAUAUCAGAUGCAUCGUAAACAAUUGAGACAUUUUU